Molecule: long non-coding RNA, 654 nt
Filed under: Olea europaea subsp. europaea
Lineage: Eukaryota; Viridiplantae; Streptophyta; Magnoliopsida; Lamiales; Oleaceae
Source: RNAcentral
CCCCAACCAUUCCUCAAAUGGCCUACAUACAGAAAAUAUGUACCUGUUUUUCCCUUAUUUCAUGGCUUCUAAUUCUAUACACUGAAGGAAGGCAACUAAAACCAUUCCAUAAAGAAUCUCCACCGUCAACUACUCCGAAUCAAACCAACAAAUUUGUCAGCUAUGAUGGGACGAAUAUUAAUGAUUUUCGACCAACAGCACCAGGAACCAGUCCUGGUAUUGGCCACUCUUUUGCAGAACAAAAAGAACACAUCCAAGAUAAAGCUACAAGUUUCACACAUAGUACUGUUAGCCACACUGUUGCGGGAGCUAAGGAUGAUUUUCGACCCACAGGACCAGGCCACAGCCCUGGUGUUGGUCAUUCUUUCCAGAACGUGAAAAAAGGAUCAAAUGCAUAAACAAAACCAAAUAAUAAUAAUAAUAAUAAGUACAAAUUUCUGGGCCUGUUUAAACUAUUCUAAUUGUAUAUGUAUUACUGUACAUUUGUGUCCAGCCGCUACGCAUGUAUAAUUAUUAUUGUCAUUUUAAGUAGUUAUUUUAUGGAGUGAUUAAACCGCAGGUGGAUUGUGUUUAAUGUAUAUUUUAGAACUCAUGUAAUAUACCAGCCCUAUCAGCUAUUGUGCAAAUAAAUUCAGUGUUUGAGUUAACUUUUCG